ACUCAAAUGAAUUGACGGGGGCCCGCACAAGCGGAGGAACAUGUGGUUUAAUUCGAUGAUACGCGAGGAACCUUACCCGGGCUUGAAAUGCAGACGACCGACGAGGAAACUUGUCUUCCAGCAAUGGCGUCUGUGUAGGUGCUGCAUGGUUGUCGUCAGCUCGUGCCGUGAGGUGUCGGCUUAAGUGCCAUAACGAGCGCAACCCCUAUUGAUAGUUACUAACAGGUUAAGCUGAGGACUCUAUUGAGACUGCCACCGUAAGGUGUGAGGAAGGUGGGGAUGACGUCAAAUCAGCACGGCCCUUACGUCCGGGGCGACACACGUGUUACAAUGGGGGGUACAGAGGGUUGCUACUUGGUGACAAGAUGCUAAUCUCUUAAAGCCUCUCUCAGUUCGGAUCGAAGUCUGCAACUCGACUUCGUGAAGCUGGAUUCGCUAGUAAUCGCGCAUCAGCCAUGGCGCGGUGAAUACGUUCCCGGGCCUUGUACACACCGCCCGU
RNAcentral lists this ribosomal RNA (499 nucleotides) under uncultured bacterium. Its description in RNAcentral is "partial 16S ribosomal RNA". It matches the Rfam family "Bacterial small subunit ribosomal RNA", at positions 899 to 1397 of the family's 1533-position model. The record is from RNAcentral.